AUGUGAUGUGGAAAAGUCAGUUUGCUGGGUCUGAUUCGCUUCCUCGCACGGACGAAGGCGCUGAAUGGUGUUAGUGACACUAUGAAAAAAUGCUAUUACUGACAGGUCUACCAUACAUACCCUGAGGGCAAAGAGACUCUAGAAACCCGACACCUUUAUCGGAACUCAUCUGAUGCUUGUUGAACCUGACAGCGUGUUUGACAGCAAAGCCCGGCCGAGCUUCUCUGCGCGCCACAGAACAGCUGCAGGCGGUCCUGACAGCUUGUCUCGCGCUGCGAUGCCAAGCGCGUGGCGCGUGAGUCAGUGCGGAACAAAGAGCUGAGCGGCACUGACGGCACGGCGUGAAGACCGAAGAUGCGGCAGUGCGGCUGUCGCAGAGAUGAGCGAUGCUGACCUCCGGGGACAGGGUUGCUGCUGCUGCUAUCGACAACAAAAGACGAUGGCAAUUAACACAGCAGUCAGGACGAAGAGCGUGUAUGGUGAAAGAGUUGGAGGUGCUGUCUCAUACUGGAAAUAAAUUAUUAAAAAUGU
Long non-coding RNA from Pomacea canaliculata, 531 nucleotides. RefSeq lists it as uncharacterized. The transcript has 3 exons. Lineage: Eukaryota; Metazoa; Mollusca; Gastropoda; Architaenioglossa; Ampullariidae. The record is from RefSeq and is a predicted model, not a curated record.